RNAcentral lists this long non-coding RNA (1089 nucleotides) under Camelus dromedarius (Arabian camel). Its description in RNAcentral is "lncRNA (ENSCDRG00005008812.1)". The record is from RNAcentral. Lineage: Eukaryota; Metazoa; Chordata; Mammalia; Artiodactyla; Camelidae.
GCGGCGGCAGGGGCUGCUCCAGCAGACACCCCCAGUUUGCACGGGGGUGCCAGCUGCCCGCGCUGCUCCCAGCUCCGGGAAAGGGAGUGUGAUAAGGCGCCAAGAGCGACGAGGGGGCAGCGGCCGGCUCUCCAGCAGCUGCGCGCGACUGUAUGAGGUAUUAGACGCCCCGGGCCAGGGCCGAAGGAUAGACUGCGAGGGUCAUGGUUGCAGGCGGCGAGCCCCAAGCCCGGCGCCGGCAGCGUCCGCUCGGGGUCUCGGAGAAGCCCGCCUGCACCCUGCGCCGCGCGGCUCUCAACGCCAGAGCCCUCCGUGGCGCUGGAGGUUCGCUGGGCGGUGGCGGGACGGGACGGACAGCGCGCUUCUCCAAUGGCCGGGCGCCGUGGCCAGCGAGGGGCGGGGCCACUCUGCCCCGGGCAGGGUCAAGCCGCCGCCCGCCAGCCCCCCUCCUGCGUCUCUCCCUCCCGCCCCGGAGCGCCCCGCCCCGCUUCCCGGCUCUCGCUUUCCUCCCACCGGGUUUGCGGCGUUCGGGGGCCAGGCGGCGAUGGAGCCAAGUCGCUUGGCCGGGCCAGCCUGCUCCUUCUCUCUCAGGACUCUUCCCCCCGCCUCACACCGUCUUCCUGCCAUCGCCUUGCUGGAGAAGCCAGGAUUGCUAUAGGAACCAGGUUCCAGGCAAACAGCAGCAGACCCGUUUCUCAGACCAGAGGCUUCAGACUGCAUAUGCAGGGAGCAGCCCCACCCUAGUCUGUCUAGUUUUGAGGAUGCAGUCUAUAAAGUCCUUUAGUAGGACAGACCAUCUUCCCUGGGAACUUAUCAAUGCCUCCUUGUUCUGGAAUCUCUACAGUAGCAUCACCAAACAUAGAGAAAACUCUUUCCAUUCCUUUGAAUCUGAGAACUUGCCUUCAAAUCCAACUCACUAGCACUGUCUUCUUUGGCACCUGUGACAGCUCCCAUUCAGCGUUUUCUUGAGGAUCAUCAGAUUUUCAGGGGUGGAUUAUUGAAAUGAAGCAGGAUAAGCCUACAUCACUAUUCCUAUAAUAACCUGUGGACAAGUUUAUGCUGUGUUUCUGACCCUCGCAUAUUUUGAAU